CUCUCUCCCUCUCUAUGUGUAUAUAUGUAUAUGUAUAGGUAUAUUUAUACAUAUAUUUGAAUGAGGGCAAAAUUUAAAAAGGAGAUACUAAAACCACAGGCUACA
Molecule: microRNA precursor, 105 nt
Filed under: Otolemur garnettii (small-eared galago)
Lineage: Eukaryota; Metazoa; Chordata; Mammalia; Primates; Galagidae
Description: miRNA (ENSOGAG00000031868.1)
Source: RNAcentral